This 530-nucleotide ribosomal RNA is filed under the name Fusarium avenaceum. RNAcentral's name for it is "SSU rRNA". It matches the Rfam family "Bacterial small subunit ribosomal RNA", at positions 386 to 895 of the family's 1533-position model. Lineage: Eukaryota; Fungi; Ascomycota; Sordariomycetes; Hypocreales; Nectriaceae. The record is from RNAcentral.
UUAUUGUGAGGGCGAGUUGUAAAACACCAUAGGGCUGGCCGUCCCAUAUGAAAAGAAUUUAUUUGAAUUGAAUGAAACUUUGUUAAUAUAUUGAUAAUGACAGUAUAUAUAUCGUGUCUUGACUAAUUGCGUGCCAGCAGUCGCGGUAAUACGUAAGAGACUAGUGUUAUUCAUCUUAAUUAGGUUUAAAGGGUACCCAGACGGUCAAUAUAGCUUAUAAAAUGUUAGUACUUGACUAGAGUUUUAUGUAAGAGGGCAGUACUUGAGGAGGAGAGAUGAAAUUUCGUGAUACCAAAGGGACUCUGUAAAGGCGAAGGCAGCCCUCUAUGUAAAAACUGACGUUGAAGGACGAAGGCCCAGACAACAAACAGGAUUAGAUACCCAAGUAGUCUUUGCAGUAAAUGAUGAAUGCCAUAGGUUAGAUUAAUAGUUAAUGUAUAUAGGCUAGUAUAAUAGACUAUACAUUAAAAAUUAUUUGGUCUAUAAAUGAAAGUGUAAGCAUUUCACCUCAAGAGUAAUGUGGCAACGCA